UGUGAACUCGAAGAGUAGGGCGGGACACGUGGUAUCCUGUCUGAAUAUGGGGGGACCAUCCUCCAAGGCUAAAUACUCCUGACUGACCGAUAGUGAACCAGUACCGUGAGGGAAAGGCGAAAAGAACCCCGGCGAGGGGAGUGAAAAAGAACCUGAAACCGUGUACGUACAAGCAGUGGGAGCACCUUCGGGUGUGACUGCGUACCUUUUGUAUAAUGGGUCAGCGACUUAUAUUCUGUAGCAAGGUUAACCGUAUAGGGGAGCCGCAGGGAAACCGAGUCUUAACUGGGCGUUAAGUUGCAGGGUAUAGACCCGAAACCCGGUGAUCUAGCCAUGGGCAGGUUGAAGGUUGGGUAACACUAACUGGAGGACCGAACCGACUAAUGUUGAAAAAUUAGCGGAUGACUUGUGGCUGGGGGUGAAAGGCCAAUCAAACCGGGAGAUAGCUGGUUCUCCCCGAAAGCUAUUUAGGUAGCGCCUCGUGAAUUCAUCUUCGGGGGUAGAGCACUGUUUCGGCUAGGGGGUCAUCCCGACUUACCAACCCGAUGCAAACUACGAAUACCGAAGAAUGUUAUCACGGGAGACACACGGCGGGUGCUAACGUCCGUCGUGAAGAGGGAAACAACCCAGACCGCCAGCUAAGGUCCCAAAGUCAUGGUUAAGUGGGAAACGAUGUGGGAAGGCACAGACAGCCAGGAUGUUGGCUUAGAAGCAGCCAUCAUUUAAAGAAAGCGUAAUAGCUCACUGGUCGAGUCGGCCUGCGCGGAAGAUGUAACGGGGCUAAACCAUGCACCGAAGCUGCGGCAGCGACACUAUGUGUUGUUGGGUAGGGGAGCGUUCUGUAAGCCUGCGAAGGUGUGCUGUGAGGCAUGCUGGAGGUAUCAGAAGUGCGAAUGCUGACAUAAGUAACGAUAAAGCGGGUGAAAAGCCCGCUCGCCGGAAGACCAAGGGUUCCUGUCCAACGUUAAUCGGGGCAGGGUGAGUCGACCCCUAAGGCGAGGCCGAAAGGCGUAGUCGAUGGGAAACAGGUUAAUAUUCCUGUACUUGGUGUUACUGCGAAGGGGGGACGGAGAAGGCUAUGUUAGCCGGGCGACGGUUGUCCCGGUUUAAGCAUGUAGGCUGGUUGUCCAGGCAAAUCCGGAUAAUCAAGGCUGAGGUGUGAUGACGAGGCACUACGGUGCUGAAGUAACAAAUGCCCUGCUUCCAGGAAAAGCCUCUAAGCAUCAGGUAACAUCAAAUCGUACCCCAAACCGACACAGGUGGUCAGGUAGAGAAUACCAAGGCGCUUGAGAGAACUCGGGUGAAGGAACUAGGCAAAAUGGUGCCGUAACUUCGGGAGAAGGCACGCUGGUGUGUAGGUGAAGUCCCUGCGGAUGGAGCUGAGACCAGUCGAAGAUACCAGCUGGCUGCAACUGUUUAUUAAAAACACAGCACUGUGCAAACACGAAAGUGGACGUAUACGGUGUGACGCCUGCCCGGUGCCGGAAGGUUAAUUGAUGGGGUUAUCCGUAAGGAGAAGCUCUUGAUCGAAGCCCCGGUAAACGGCGGCCGUAACUAUAACGGUCCUAAGGUAGCGAAAUUCCUUGUCGGGUAAGUUCCGACCUGCACGAAUGGCGUAAUGAUGGCCAGGCUGUCUCCACCCGAGACUCAGUGAAAUUGAACUCGCUGUGAAGAUGCAGUGUACCCGCGGCAAGACGGAAAGACCCCGUGAACCUUUACUAUAGCUUGACACUGAACAUUGAGCCUUGAUGUGUAGGAUAGGUGGGAGGCUUUGAAGCGUGGACGCCAGUCUGCGUGGAGCCAACCUUGAAAUACCACCCUUUAAUGUUUGAUGUUCUAACGUUGGCCCCUUACCGGGGUUGCGGACAGUGUCUGGUGGGUAGUUUGACUGGGGCGGUCUCCUCCCAAAGCGUAACGGAGGAGCACGAAGGUUAGCUAAUCCUGGUCGGACAUCAGGAGGUUAGUGCAAUGGCAUAAGCUAGCUUGACUGCGAGCGUGACGGCGCGAGCAGGUGCGAAAGCAGGUCAUAGUGAUCCGGUGGUUCUGAAUGGAAGGGCCAUCGCUCAACGGAUAAAAGGUACUCCGGGGAUAACAGGCUGAUACCGCCCAAGAGUUCAUAUCGACGGCGGUGUUUGGCACCUCGAUGUCGGCUCAUCACAUCCUGGGGCUGAAGUAGGUCCCAAGGGUAUGGCUGUUCGCCAUUUAAAGUGGUACGCGAGCUGGGUUUAGAACGUCGUGAGACAGUUCGGUCCCUAUCUGCCGUGGGCGCUGGAGAAUUGAGGGGGGCUGCUCCUAGUACGAGAGGACCGGAGUGGACGCAUCACUGGUGUUCGGGUUGUCAUGCCAAUGGCACUGCCCGGUAGCUAAAUGCGGAAGAGAUAAGUGCUGAAAGCAUCUAAGCACGAAACUUGCCCCGAGAUGAGUUCUCCCUGAGACUUUAAGUCUCCUGAAGGAACGUUGAAGACGACGACGUUGAUAGGCCGGGUGUGUAAGCGCAGCGAUGCGUUGAGCUAACCGGUACUAAUGAACCGUGAGGCUUAACCUU
RNAcentral lists this ribosomal RNA (2545 nucleotides) under Klebsiella pneumoniae. RNAcentral describes it as "partial 23S ribosomal RNA". It matches the Rfam family "Bacterial large subunit ribosomal RNA", at positions 398 to 2925 of the family's 2925-position model. The record is from RNAcentral. Lineage: Bacteria; Pseudomonadati; Pseudomonadota; Gammaproteobacteria; Enterobacterales; Enterobacteriaceae.